GGGUCAUUAAAGAAAGGCAGGAGAGAACUUUUGAUGCUGCUUUUCAGGCAUCCCAUUCAGUAGCAGCAGAGAACAAGAAAAUCCAACAAGGAAACAGCGUAGUACACGUUAACAGCUUUAAUUGGAGAACGGUUCUGCUUUUUUUUUUUUUCCCCCAAGCAGCGAGAGGAAAAGAUCCUUUGACCGAGUCAUGUGAUACUCAUCACGUGACUUGCAGUGACCCGCGGAAAAGGAAGAGGAAAAAAAAAAAAAAAAAAAGCAAACAUUCCUGCCGCCAGCGUUUAGGCUAUAGUAAAUGAUUAAAUGGUUUUUACUGCUGCCACCUCGAAUUUGAGGAUCUUUCAGACUUCCUCCUGAAGUAACUCAAAAGCUCAUUAAAAUACACAUACAGAAAUACAUAUCUGAUGUAAAACAGUACUCUGUUUUCAUUUAUCUCCUGUUAACAUCACAGGCAUUUGUUUUCAUUUAUCUCCUGUAACAUCACAGGCAUUAUCUUCUAAUGGUUUUUAUUAUCCAGACCGCUACCUCCAUUUAGAAAGUUUAAGAUACAUAUAACAUUUAGUAAUUUAGUGGGUUUGCUCUGAAAUGUCCUUCUGUAACUUGAUCCACUCUCCAAGCUCAACCUUUAAUGCCCACAGCACACAAUGGUCUAUAGAAUAUAGGCUUGAUCAAUGUGUUCCUCAAACAUGGGAUUCAUGUUUCAGAUUGGCAUUUGCCUCUCAAGUUAAUAAAGGGUAUCACUUUAAGUGUUGGUUUCAUUUUAUUUCUGAUUUUGUUUUGUUGUUUGUAUGUUUAUUUUAAGACUUAACCUGGACAUUAAUACAGAUGCCUGAUGGAUGGCAUUGUCACUCAUGUUGAUGAAAUCUUCAAAGACAGGCCGUGAUUCAGGCUCAGAACACCCUACCCAACCUCCCAUAGAGACCAAAGAUGUUGUUACAAGAGAGGAGAAGACUAUUGAACUGUGUUUCCUAAAAAAGAUAUGCUUCUGUACCAGCACCUCAGAAUGCAAUUUUAUUUGGGAAUGAGGUCAUUGCAAAUAAAAUUGGUUAAGAUGAGGUCAUGUUGGAGUAGAAUGGAACCCCAAUCCAAUAUGGUAUCCUUAUAAGAAGACAGCCAUGUGAAGACACAGAGACACAGGGAGAAUGCCAUGUGAAGAUGGAAACAGAUUAAAAUGAUGCCUUUAAAGCGAAGAAGCCCCAAGGAUUGCUGGCCGUCACCAGCAAGUAGAAGAGAGGCACGAAUUCUCCCUCAGAAAGAAUCGAUUCUGCUGACAUCUUGAUCUUGCACUUCUAGCCUCUACAACUAUGGGACAUUAAACUUCUGUUGUUUUAAGUCACCCAGUUUGUGUUACUU
This is a long non-coding RNA of Neofelis nebulosa (Clouded leopard), 1353 nucleotides long. RefSeq lists it as uncharacterized. Lineage: Eukaryota; Metazoa; Chordata; Mammalia; Carnivora; Felidae. The transcript has 3 exons. The record is from RefSeq and is a predicted model, not a curated record.